GAGGUUAAAGGGCAGGCUGAGUGAAGUGGUGGUGUGGGACAGAGGUUAAAGGGCAGGCUGAGUGAAGUGGUGGUUCAUUGUUUGUGUUAGCGUGUACACUCAGUUUGUGGUCUGCUGCACCUUUAGGUGUUUUCUGUUCAGUUCUGCAUAGAAGAACAUUAAAUGGAUGUUUCCCUUCAACUCUGCCUGUGUCCUGCCUCCUCGACUGGGACAGUCACACUUUUUCACUGUCACACAGACUAAAGGAAUGAACACCCAAACCGAAGUCAGAAUUAAGUAUAUUCUCCAGUAAGACCCUUCAAAGACUACAGGGAACAUGAAUGUGAUAUUUCCACACACUCUCCCUGUAGGAUGCAGUCCUACACAGAAGUUCUAUGUGACCUAUGCUGAGAUUGACUUCAGAAAGAUGGUCAAAACCCAGAAAAUCAACACAGCCGCCAGAGUCAGAAUAAGUCAAUUCUCCAAGAAAGACAGUCACAGUCCACAGUGACUUUAUGAUCGUCUUCACUCGUGCUGCUGCUUGAAGGGAUGCUGCUGCUUUUGAUGCCUUGAACAUAACUGGUUCAUCUGAAGCCAGCUCCCGUUAGGAAAUUGGUGCUUAGCUAGGUUCAAAUUUUCAUUGCAAUGGAACAUUGUUACAAAAUAAUGCAUGUUUCACAGAAAGAUGUUUGUCUGGAUUUGACAUCUUCAGCGUAUAAUGUUCUGUGGAAGGGAGUGUCAUGGAAAUAAAGUACAUUCUAGUGAAUCCCAAACAAGCCCCACUGUCCUAUGCACGUUAUUUCAGUGCCAUCCGCAGCACUUUGUCGUUAAUAUAGCUCUGAGUGGUGUCUACGUGUUCAUUUGGGAUUGUACCUGUGUUGGCAUGAAAAUUGUAGAGGGGAUCUGGAAUUGAACUUUGGUUGUCCAACAGGGGAGAGAUUUAAUCAAAACACUGAAAGCAAACCUGGUGACUGUUUUUUGCAGAGCAUUCACAUGUUCGUUGUGCAUAACUGUCAAUGUGAUAAUGUCAUUGUCAAUAACAAUCAGUGCAAUCACCACACCUGAAUGUGUUACCAAAUUGUGUAGCUUUUCCAA
Molecule: long non-coding RNA, 1074 nt
Organism: Esox lucius (northern pike)
Lineage: Eukaryota; Metazoa; Chordata; Actinopteri; Esociformes; Esocidae
Exons: 6
Source: RefSeq, a predicted model, not a curated record